This 501-nucleotide ribosomal RNA is filed under the name uncultured bacterium. RNAcentral's name for it is "partial 16S ribosomal RNA". It matches the Rfam family "Bacterial small subunit ribosomal RNA", at positions 30 to 523 of the family's 1533-position model. The record is from RNAcentral.
AUUGAACGCUGGCGGCAGGCUUAACACAUGCAAGUCGAGCGGUAACAGAGAGAAGCUUGCUUCUCUGCUGACGAGCGGCUGACGGGUGAGUAAUGCCUAGGAAUCUGCCUAGUAGUGGGGGAUAACUUGCCGAAAGGUAAGCUAAUACCGCAUACGUCCUAACGGAGAAAGGAGGGGACCUUCGGGCCUUUCGCUAUUAGAUGAGCCUAGGUCGGAUUAGUUAGUUGGUGAGGGAAUGGCUCACCAAGACCGCGAUCCGUAACUGGUCUGAGAGGAUGAUCAGUCACACUGGAACUGAGACACGGUCCAGACUCCUACGGGAGGCAGCAGUGAGGAAUAUUGGUAAAUGGGGGCAACCCUGAACCAGCCAUGCCGCGUGCAGGAAGACGGCUCUAUGAGUUGUAAACUGCUUUUGUACAGGGAUAAAUCGGGAUACGUGUAUUCCGUUGAAGGUACUGUACGAAUAAGGAUCGGCUAACUCCGUGCCAGCCGCCGCCGUAA